Long non-coding RNA from Callithrix jacchus (white-tufted-ear marmoset), 1951 nucleotides. Lineage: Eukaryota; Metazoa; Chordata; Mammalia; Primates; Cebidae. The record is from Ensembl.
AUGACAGUGUCACAAAAACCAUCUCAAGGUUUUCAGGCUGGGCAAAAGGAUUUUAUGGGAGCAUUAAUGUGUAGAAACUAUAUGCAGGGGUUGACUACACGCAGACAUAACUAUGGAGCAAGUGAGCAAACCCUAGGAGUCUGCAGAGACAGCAGUCACUUAACACCCAGCCUGCAGGUUGAGGAAGCAGCUAUCAGGAAAGAAAGCAAAUUCACUUUCCUACAGAGGGACACAUCCAUCUCUGCAGCCAAUGAGCUGGAUACAGAAGCGAGCACCUUCUAGCAGUUGAGACCUUAUAUCUGCCAUGCCGAUUUAUGCUGUUGUAUCCUGGAGAGAGCAUUCCUUCCCAGCAAUGAUGGAGGAACCCAAGACGGAAAGAAAACACAAAAACUGAUCCUCUAAGUAUUUAAAUCAACAUCUUGAUAUAAAUUUCCAAAGGAGACAUUGAAUAUAUUCUUGCCUCGUCUUUGAUUAGAAACAGGAAUAGAAUUCCUGUUAGUUUGGUAUUUUAGGGGUGAUAAUAGCAAAAUGACCUUCAAAUUCUUAACUAUAAGCUUUAACUGGGUUUGCCUGAUUGCUGGUUUUGAAUGAACCUUACAACCAAGGACCGCUGUGACACAGAAGAGUAGAAGUUUGGCACAAACUGCAUGGGUUCACCAUGUGGUUCUUUCAUUUUCUAAUUCUGUAAUCCUGUACAAACCAUUUAACGUACUUAUGACUCAGUUUACUUAUCCGUGAAUGGGGAAAGUAAUAAUGUCUCCCUCUUUAGGACUGAAGUGAGCCAAUACAUAUAAAGUACUGAGUAGUAAGUAUCUCCAAACACAUCCAUUAUCCAAACCAUUAGUGAUCUCUGUGCGCGUGUGUGUGUGUGUGUUCAGAGUGAGAAAGACAAAUAACUCCAUUUCAUACCACAAAGAAGACUAUUUAAUAACACCUGCUAGCAGACAUAGCUGUUCUGUCUCAAAUUCUCCUGUAGAUACUGGUGUUUGCUACUCUAGCUAUUGAAACUUCUUGCAAACUCUGAUUCUCAUGUAGCUUUGAGCCUUCAUGCUACUGAGGUCACUGUUCCCCUUCACCACUUUCUUAUUUCAACAAACUAAACUCUGUCCUAGCUCCCUCAACCCAUAGAACCCAUACUCAUGGCUUGCAUCAACUUCCACAGACAGAGGAAAGUAAAAUAACACAUUUUUGUCUUGUUUUCAUUUUUUUUAAUUAUGCUAGUAAGCUGUUAAAAUUUGGACGUUGUCCAACUGCCUCAUUUAACAUUUUGCAUUCAACCACCUGCCACCUAUUUAAUUUUAAGCACUUAUUGUUUACCAUUAUUUGAUUUUUAGUAAUUUAGCUUUUAAAAAACGUUGUCAUUAUCUCACCAUUAUCUCAUUUUCUUUGUGAUUUAAUAUUUUGACAUUUUUCAACACUUCACUAUGCUAUUGACUUUUAAAACAUGUUUGAUUUGUCUUGUGCAUGUCUCCUUUUAUUUCCUGUAGUGAAAGUAUUGAUUAUUACCUCAGUCAGGGCUUCUGGAAUUAGCACAGGAGCAAACAGCGAUUUUUUGUUGUUCUUCCAGUUUUGUUUUUAAUUGUUUCUCUCUUAACUGCAUUUUUGGCAUUUUGGGUUUGUUUGUUUGUUUGUUCGUUUGUUUGUUGGAGUAACUGACACAGAAAUAAAGUGUAAAAGUUGAAUUUCUCCUUAUUCACUAUCAGUAUGAAAAGGAAAUAGCUAGCAUGUUUAUUAUAUAAGCCUGUGAACUCUGAGCAUUUUGGAAUCCUGUUUACUUUUAGUUGACCUCAUCAGUUAACAUAAAUGUAAUUCUCAACAUCUUUUUAUACAUGUAUUUUAAGUUUAAUCAUUCUCCUUCAUGUGCUUUCAUAAUUGCAGUACUUUACAGCAUGUUUUUCAUUCAUAUAUUUAUCUAUUCUAAUUUUCUCUUUACAUUUGUCGGUAGCUUUUA